RNAcentral lists this ribosomal RNA (443 nucleotides) under uncultured bacterium. RNAcentral describes it as "partial 16S ribosomal RNA". It matches the Rfam family "Bacterial small subunit ribosomal RNA", at positions 355 to 788 of the family's 1533-position model. The record is from RNAcentral.
UGGGGAAUAUUGCACAAUGGGCGCAAGCCUGAUGCAGCCAUGCCGCGUGUGUGAAGAAGGCCUUCGGGUUGUAAAGCACUUUCAGCGAGGAGGAAGGUGGUGGACUUAAUACGUUCAUCAAUUGACGUUACUCGCAGAAGAAGCACCGGCUAACUCCGUGCCAGCAGCCGCGGUAAUACGGAGGGUGCAAGCGUUAAUCGGAAUUACUGGGCGUAAAGCGCACGCAGGCGGUUUGUUAAGUCAGAUGUGAAAUCCCCGGGCUCAACCUGGGAACUGCAUUUGAAACUGGCAAGCUAGAGUCUCGUAGAGGGGGGUAGAAUUCCAGGUGUAGCGGUGAAAUGCGUAGAGAUCUGGAGGAAUACCGGUGGCGAAGGCGGCCCCCCUGGACGAAGACUGACGCUCAGGUGCGAAAGCGUGGGGAGCAAACAGGAUUAGAUACCCCU